Molecule: non-coding RNA, 94 nt
Filed under: Heterosigma akashiwo
Lineage: Eukaryota; Raphidophyceae; Chattonellales; Chattonellaceae
Source: RNAcentral
UGUCCCGGAAAGGCGCGCUGGCGCAGACCCCCGAGGCCGGCGGCAAGGACGCGGCGCCGCCCGGGCAGGACCUGUCCCCGGGCGGCGGCGGCGG